AUUGAACGCUGGCGGCAGGCUUAACACAUGCAAGUCGAGCGAGCGGCGGACGGGUGAGUAAUGUCUGGGAAACUGCCUGAUGGAGGGGUAUAACUACUGUAAACGGUAGCUAAUACCGCAUACCAUCAGAUGUGCCCAGAUGGGAUUAGCUAGUAGGUGGGGAAAGGGCUCACAUAGGAGACGAUCCCUAGCUGGUCUGCGAGGAUGACCAGCCACACUGGAACUGAGACACGGUCCAGACUCCUACGGGAGGCAGCAGUAGGGAAUAUUGCACAAUGGGCGCAAGCCUGAUGCAGCCAGGCCGCGUGUGUGAAGAAGGCCUUCGGGUUGUAAAGCACUGUCAUCGAGGAGGCGUUACUCGCAGAAGAAGCACCGGCUAACUCCGUGCCAGCAGCCGCGGUAAUAC
This 406-nucleotide ribosomal RNA is filed under the name uncultured bacterium. RNAcentral describes it as "partial 16S ribosomal RNA". It matches the Rfam family "Bacterial small subunit ribosomal RNA", at positions 30 to 526 of the family's 1533-position model. The record is from RNAcentral.